RNAcentral lists this ribosomal RNA (866 nucleotides) under uncultured Clostridia bacterium. RNAcentral describes it as "bacterial SSU rRNA". It matches the Rfam family "Bacterial small subunit ribosomal RNA", at positions 26 to 896 of the family's 1533-position model. Lineage: Bacteria; Bacillati; Bacillota; Clostridia. The record is from RNAcentral.
AGGAUUAACCUGCCGGCCGGCCAUAACCACAGGCAAGUCGGACCGAGGGAACUAAAGGUCUCCCUUGGAGUGAACUUAAGUGGAUUAUGGCGGACGGGUGAGUAACGCGUUGAGUAACCUGCCUUAGAGAAGGGGAUAACCUUUGGAAACGAAGGAAUAAUACCCCUUAGACAUGGAUACNCCUCGCAUGAGAAUAUCAUCAAAGAUUUAUCGCUCUAAGAUGGACUUGCGUCUGAUUAUUUAAUUUGUGGGGGUAACGGCCCACCAAGACAGCGAUCAGUAACCGGCUUGAGAGAGUGUACGGCCACAUUGGGACUGAGACACGGCCCAGACUCCUACGGGAGGCACAUGGGGAAUUUUGCACAAUGGGGGAAACCCUGAUGCAGCGACGCUGCGUGAUUUAGAAGGCCUUCGGGUUGUAAAAAUCUUUUCUAUGGGAAGAACAUGACAGUACCAUAGGAAUAAGGACCGGCUAAUUACGUGCCAGCACCGCGGUAAUACGUAAGGUCCGAGCGUUGUCCGGAAUCAUUGGGCGUAAAGGGUACGUAGGCGGGUAAGCAAGUUAGAAGUGAAAUCCUAUAGCUCAACUAUAGUAAGCUUUUAAAACUGCUCAUCUUGAGGUAUGGAAGGGAAAGUGGAAUUCCUGGUGUACGGUGAAAUGCGCAGAUAUUAGGAGGAAUACCGGUGGCGAAGGCGACUUUCUGGCCAUAACCUGACGCUGAGGUACGAAAGCGUGGGUAGCAAACAGGAUUAGAUACCCUGGUAGUCCACGCCGUAAACGAUGAGUGUUAGGUGUCUGGAGUAAAUCUGGGUGCCGCAGCUAACGCAUUAAACACUCCGCCUGGGGAGUACGCGCGUCAAGCGUG